RNAcentral lists this unclassified non-coding RNA (400 nucleotides) under soil metagenome. RNAcentral's name for it is "partial contains 5.8S ribosomal RNA, internal transcribed spacer 2, and large subunit ribosomal RNA". The stretch from base 1 to 122 matches the Rfam family "5.8S ribosomal RNA", at positions 35 to 154 of the family's 154-position model. The record is from RNAcentral.
GAUGAAGAACGUAGCGAAAUGCGAUACUUGGUGUGAAUUGCAGAAUCCCGUGAACCAUCGAGUCUUUGAACGCAAGUUGCGCCUCAAGCCAUUAGGUUGAGGGCACGUCUGCCUGGGCGUCACAUAUCGUUGCCUGAUGCCAGUUUCCUCGUGAUGGGUGACUGUGCAGGGCGAAUGAUGGCUUCCCGUGAGCAUUGUUGCCUCAUGGUUGGUUGAAAAUUGAGUCCUUGGUAGGGAGCGCCGUGAUAGAUGGUGGUUGAGUGACGAACGAGACCCAAUCAUGUGAGACCCCUACCGAAUUUGGCCUUCAUGACCCACAUGCGUCUUUGGAACGCUUAUGACGAGACCUCAGGUCAGGCGGGGCUACCCGCUGAGUUUAAGCAUAUCAAUAAGCGGAGGA